UAUCUUGUUUGAGUGAAGAUCAAGAGUGUGUUUCGACCCCACCAUGCUUUCUGCCAGCAUUCAAUCAAUCUAACACUGAGUUUGAAUCUCCUAUCUUGGGGAAUCUCACAUCCCUUCUCUCCAAUCAAACCAGUUUCUUUUCAAUUUCAAAUAAUAAUUUGACUGGAAAAAUCCCUUUCUCAAUCUGCAAUGUAAGUAAUCUGCAAUUUUUGAUAUUGUCCAAUAACCAAUUGAGUGGCACCAUCCCAACAUGCCUUGGCAGUAGCAAUAUAUUGGGGGUUCUAGAUUUGGAAAGCAACAAAAUACAUGGUCCUAUUCCUCCUACAUUCAGAAGUGGAUGCAGGCUGCAUUCACUUAAACUCAAUAAAAACAUGCUUCAAGGACAAAUUCCAAGAUCAUUAGAUAACUGCAAGAAAUUGGAGGUGUUAGAUAUUGGGGACAACAUGUUGAAUGAUACCUUCCCAUAUUGGUUCGGAAGUCUCUCUGAGUUGCGUGUUCUUGUCAUGAGAUCUAACCACUUUCAGGGUCCCAUUGGACAACUCUCCCAUGUUGAUUCUCCUUUUCCAAACCUACAUGUUUUUGACAUCUCUGGCAAUGCUUUUACAGGGAAUUUACCAUUGCAAUAUAUUCUUCAUUGGAAGGCGAUGAUGAAUGAUGCGAACAAUUCCCAAUUGAGUUAUCUCAAUUAUGAUUAUUACUAUCGAGACACAAUUGCUAUUGUGUACAAGGGAACAUACUUUGAGAUGGAAAGUAUUGUAACCACCUUCACCUCUGUAGAUUUAUCCAACAACAGAUUUAAUGGAGGGAUUCCAGAUGCAAUGGGCGAUUUAAAAUCACUUAUGUUGCUCAACUUGUCAGGAAAUAGCCUCACGGGUCAAAUUCCAUCUUCGUUGGGAAAUCUAAGACAACUUGAAGCAUUGGAUCUUUCAAGAAACAAUCUUUCAGGACA
Molecule: long non-coding RNA, 949 nt
Organism: Telopea speciosissima
Lineage: Eukaryota; Viridiplantae; Streptophyta; Magnoliopsida; Proteales; Proteaceae
Exons: 4
Source: RefSeq, a predicted model, not a curated record